RNAcentral lists this ribosomal RNA (344 nucleotides) under uncultured Coprococcus sp. RNAcentral describes it as "partial 16S ribosomal RNA". The record is from RNAcentral. Lineage: Bacteria; Bacillati; Bacillota; Clostridia; Lachnospirales; Lachnospiraceae.
GGAGUUUGGGCCGUGUCUCAGUCCCAAUGUGGCCGUACACCCUCUCAGGCCGGCUACUGAUCGUCGCCUUGGUGGGCCGUUACCUCACCAACUAGCUAAUCAGACGCGGGUCCAUCCUAUGCCACCGGAGUUUUUCACACUGUACCAUGCGAUACUGUGCGCUUAUGCGGUAUUAACAGUCGUUUCCAACUGUUAUCCCCCUGCAUAGGGCAGGUUACCCACGCGUUACUCACCCGUCCGCCACUAAGUAGCUCAAAUGAGUUUAUCAGAAGCAAGCUUCAUCAAUCCUCGGGAGAACUACUCCGUUCGACUUGCAUGUGUUAAGCACGCCGCCAGCGUUUAUC